Molecule: transfer RNA, 67 nt
Filed under: Euphyllura phillyreae
Lineage: Eukaryota; Metazoa; Arthropoda; Insecta; Hemiptera; Liviidae
Description: tRNA-Leu
Source: RNAcentral
CUAUUUUGGCAGAUAAAUGUGUUAAAUUUAGGAUUUAAUUAUGUAUAAUUUAUAAUUUACAGAUAGU